This 253-nucleotide ribosomal RNA is filed under the name uncultured bacterium. RNAcentral describes it as "partial 16S ribosomal RNA". It matches the Rfam family "Bacterial small subunit ribosomal RNA", at positions 524 to 776 of the family's 1533-position model. The record is from RNAcentral.
UACGGAGGGUGCAAGCGUUAUCCGGAUUCACUGGGUUUAAAGGGUGCGUAGGUGGGCAGGUAAGUCAGUGGUGAAAUCUCUGGGCUUAACCCGGAAACUGCCAUUGACACUAUCUGUCUUGAAUACCGUGGAGGUUAGCGGAAUAUGUCAUGUAGCGGUGAAAUGCUUAGAUAUGACAUAGAACACCAAUUGCGAAGGCAGCUGGCUACACGAAUAUUGACACUGAUGCACGAAAGCGUGGGGAUCAAACAGG